CGAACGCUGGCGGCGCGUUUUAAGCAUGCAAGUCGAACGGUAGUAGAGUGCUUGCACUCUAUGAGAGUGGCGAACGGGUGAGUAACACGUAGGUGAUCUGCCCUUGAGUUGGGGAUAGCCCAUGGAAACAUGGGGUAAUACCGAAUACGUUCCGGAGGUUCUAGCCACCGGAGGAAAAGCGCUUCGGCGCUGCUCGAGGAUGAGCCUGCGGCUGAUUAGUUAGUUGGUGGGGUAAAGGCCUACCAAGGCGACGAUCAGUAGCCGGCCUGAGAGGGUGAGCGGCCACACUGGGACUGAGAUACGGCCCAGACUCCUACGGGAGGCAGCAGCUAAGAAUCUUCCGCAAUGGACGAAAGUCUGACGGAGCGACGCCGCGUGGGUGAUGAAGGCCGGAAGGUUGUAAAGCCCUUUUCUAUCUGAGGAAUAAGCUCAGGAGGCAAUGCCUGAGUGAUGACGGUAGGGUAGGAAUAAGCCCCGGCCAAUUAC
Molecule: ribosomal RNA, 486 nt
Filed under: uncultured bacterium
Lineage: Bacteria
Description: bacterial SSU rRNA
Rfam family: Bacterial small subunit ribosomal RNA
Source: RNAcentral